RNAcentral lists this long non-coding RNA (1187 nucleotides) under Triticum aestivum (bread wheat). RNAcentral's name for it is "long non-coding RNA (TAES_LNC013279)". The record is from RNAcentral. Lineage: Eukaryota; Viridiplantae; Streptophyta; Magnoliopsida; Poales; Poaceae.
ACAAUUAUAUGUGGUUGCAUGUUGCGUAUGAUGUCUAGCUUGUAUUGCUUCUAACUUUGUUGAAUUGCAUCUGCUUACUUUUCACAUAAUCCCUGUGAAUAUGACACAUGUUCCUGUUUCUAGAACAUACUAUAUCUGAUCACACCAUGUUCUUACAUCAGACUACUGUUCUUGCAUAUCCCGCAUCAGUCACUUAUGAUAAGGCACCUUUAAGUCACCACUUUUAUAUUGGUUGUGUCUUGCAUAUGAUUUCUAGCAUGUACUGCCUCUAAUUUGUUGAAACGCCAGACAGUUUGAACUUGGCAGAGUGAUAUUGGUUGCAUCUUUCAUAUGGUUUCUAGCUUCCAGUGCUUCUAAUUUGUUGAAAUGCCUUCUGCUUAGUUACCACAUCAUAGGUGUGAAUAUGUCACGUUGUCCUGUUUUUCGUACAUAUUCCGUCCUCGUAUCAUGUGUUUGCCUUUCAUCCGAGAAGUGUUCAUCGGUAUCAUGCAUGAAUAAGUUCUGAAGAGCGAAUUUUAUUCCUUUUUCUUAUCGGUUUGACUUCACCAUGCAAAAUCAAUACUGCUGAAGGAAAUUAGUCCGGCAAUGGAUGAUGGUGGUCCGUCGGAGAAACUCAAAUAGAGGGUCUCUACAGAUUAUACUCGGCCAUCCUCCCAACAAGAUUCGCAAGACAACACAAGGCUGGACAGUCAACGUAGCUAUGUAGAUGAUGAGCACACCUCCCCUACUCCACCAUCACAGGUGCUUGCUCUAACUUGGCACUAUUAUAUGUGGUUGCAUGUUGCGUAUGAUGUCUAGCUUGUAUUGCUUCUAACUUUGUUGAAUUGCAUCUGCUUACUUUUUACAUAAUGCCUGUGAAUAUGACACGUGUUCCUGUUUCUAGAACAUAUGUGUAGAUGAUGAGCACAUCUCGCCUACUCCAACAUCACAGGUGCUUGCUCUAACUUGGAACUGUUAUAUGUGGUUGCGUGUUCCGUAUGAUGUCUAGUUUGUAUUGCUUCUGAUUUUGUUGAAUUGCAUCUGCGUAGCUUACAACUUAUACCUGCAACAAUCACUUACCCAUAAGACACAUUUAACUUGGGAGUGUGAUGCAGGUUGCAUCUUGCAUUGUCUUCUAGCUUGUACUGCUUCUAAUUUCUUGAAAUGGCACUUACAACGAGACACUUUUUACCUGAUAGAGUGAUAUU